This 72-nucleotide transfer RNA is filed under the name Bos taurus (domestic cattle). It matches the Rfam family "tRNA". Rfam says of the family: Transfer RNA (tRNA) molecules are approximately 80 nucleotides in length. RNAcentral also lists the same sequence under 5 other names. The record is from Rfam by way of RNAcentral. Lineage: Eukaryota; Metazoa; Chordata; Mammalia; Artiodactyla; Bovidae.
UCCCUGGUGGCUCAGAUGAUAAAGAAUCUGCCUGCAAUGCAGGAGACUUGGGUUCGAUUCCUGAGUUGGGAA